This 253-nucleotide ribosomal RNA is filed under the name uncultured bacterium. Its description in RNAcentral is "partial 16S ribosomal RNA". It matches the Rfam family "Bacterial small subunit ribosomal RNA", at positions 524 to 776 of the family's 1533-position model. The record is from RNAcentral.
UACGUAGGGAGCAAGCGUUGUCCGGAUUUGCUGGGUGUAAAGGGUGCGUAGGCGGCUUUGCAAGUCAGAAGUGAAAUCCAUGGGCUUAACCCAUGAACUGCUUUUGAAACUGCAGAGCUUGAGUGGAGUAGAGGUAGGCGGAAUUCCCGGUGUAGCGGUGAAAUGCGUAGAGAUCGGGAGGAACACCAGUGGCGAAGGCGGCCUGCUGGGCUCUAACUGACGCUGAGGCACGAAAGCGUGGGUAGCAAACAGG